RNAcentral lists this long non-coding RNA (2322 nucleotides) under Marmota monax (woodchuck). The record is from RNAcentral. Lineage: Eukaryota; Metazoa; Chordata; Mammalia; Rodentia; Sciuridae.
GCCUUAUGGCCCUUCUACAAUGGUGUAAUGUCGAAGGAGAGAACUAAAAAAAGUCUUACUGAUGGGGUUGGAAUCUCAUCACUCUAUUGGGUGAAGAUGGUCAAUCCUGAGAUGAGGAAUACAUUCAGUUCCUUAUACACUUCAGUGUAAAGGAUUUCAGGGGCUCUGGGGCCCGAAAGAAAGAGCACGAAAAAAAAAAAAAAGAGUGAAGGUUGCCACUGGUAAUAAACAUAAUCUGUGUGGCCAUUUGGCUAAAACCCGAAUAUUUUUGGAACAUACUCUCUUUUACAAAAGAAGCUCUGCUCAGAACCCAAAGACCAGACCAGAGUUCUAGGUCUCAUGUGACCUACCGGUUUCCUGUGUGGAUGUCUCAUUUUGUUUUAAUGAUAUGGAAAUAAUCAAAACUUCUGCCUUCCCUGCCACUGGGAGAGCCCAUGUUCAGCAUGUGAACAUGAUUUGAACUAUACACAUGAAAGGAAUGAAUAAGUAAUAUUGUACUGGUUGUUUGGAGGGAGUUGUUUAGAAACUCCAUGCACUGUGGUUUAUUAUGGAGAAACACCUGCACCUUUUUUAUCUCUGUUCUUUGGACCAGUGACCCUUGAACUCUUUUCACAGAAACUCAUCUCAAGUGGGGCAAAAAGGCAUCCCUGCCUGUAAUCCCAGCAGGUAGGGAGGCUAAGGCAGGAGGAUCAAGGGCUCAAAGCUAGUGGCAAGGAGCUAAGCAACUUAGUGAGACCCUGUCUCUAAAUAAAAUAUAAAAAUAGGGCUUGGGAUGUGGCUCAGUGGUCAAGUGCCCCUGAGUUCAAUCCCUGGUACCCCCCCAAAAAAAAGGCACCCCUGUCCCAGGAUAUAAUCAAGAAAAUGUAGCCUCUCAGCAUCGCUAUGGUCUUAGAAGUGUUGACAGUCUUUUCAGCAUGUUGUCCUCAGCACACCACAGUGCUGCAUAAAUAGAAUUUCUGAAUCCAUUAUUAUUACUAUACAAUUGUGGUGAUCAUAUAUAUGUAUCCUCAUUUCUUCCUGACUCAUACUGAAGCAGAGACUGUACAAAUGGUACCUGGUUUGAGAUUGAACCAUCCAUACUUGGUUGAUUCCAAGUUUUCUGAGGAGAAGGAAUUGUUUAGUUGCUUAUUUCUUUUUUCCCAUAUUUUUGAAUUGGUGCAUUAUAGUUGUAUAUAACAGUGGGAUUUGUUGCUACAUAGUCAUACAUGCACAGAAUCUAACGAUAUAUUUUGGCCAAUUUCAUUCCCCAGUAUUUCCCCCUUUCCGCCCCUCCUCCCUCCCCUAGUCCUUUCCCUCUAUUCUAUUAAUCUCCAUUUGAUUUUCAUGAGACCUCCUACUUGCUUGUUUCUUAAAAUUAUUGGUUUGGUUUGUUUUCCUAACGACAAAGUGCCAAUCAAUUGUUUUCUAUCACCACCCAGCAGACUUAUCUUCAACCCAAUCAUUGUACAUUUAAGAAAAUGCAGUCUCACCAUAUCAAAAUGGUUUAUAAAUUCUGAUUUCACCGAGUUUCACAGUGCAUUCCAAAGCCAAGCAAGGAAGCAUGGUGGAUUAUCUACAUUUUUACAAUUGUAAUGCUUUAGCUUUCCUGGAUGAGGUGGCACACAUCUAUAAUCUCAGCUAAAUCAGAAGGCUGAAGCAAGAAGGUCCCAAGUUUGAGACCAGCUUGGACAACUUAGUGAGAUCCUGUCCCAAAAUUUAAAAAAAUGAAAAUAAAAAGUUCUGAGGAUGUAGUUCAGUGGUAGAGUGCUUACCUAGCAUGCAUGAGACCCCGAGUUCAAUAUAUUUGCCAUAUAUCAGUCAACAAGAUUCAUCUCUUUUUUCCCUUUGUAUUCUAAAAUGUACCAUCCUCCUUUCACUUUAACUGAAAAAAAAUCUUGUAAACAUCAGUGUGUAUUUGUGAUUUGCCAGUGAAUAAAAGUGUUGUGUUGUUAUUCAAUGGAAUAAUUAACAUAUGAAAUCCUAAUCACAGUGUUUGUUUCCCUGCUAAUGUUUCAUAUCAUGUUAGUAUAUUUAGAUAUUAAUGAAGCAACAGCCAUUUAAACAGCUCAACCCUGAAACAGAGACAGAACUUGGCAAAGACGUUUUUAGAGCAGUGGAAGCUCAUACCAGCAACCAGACUCAUCUCCGUUACAUCUCUCAAGCUCAUUGCCCAGGACUGUGUUCUUGUGUGCAAAUAAGCAGGGAACCACUAUACUGUGUCCAUGUUACCCAUUCGUUUUAAAAUGACCUUGUUUGUUUGAAAGUUUAUUGCUAUUUGCAUGGAGACUGUUUCUCUCUCAAUCCAAAAUUAAGGUAAUAAAUCAAUUGUAUUUGUGUCUUUUC